UGCUGCAUGGCUGUCGUCAGCUCGUGUCGUGAGAUGUUGGGUUAAGUCCCGCAACGAGCGCAACCCUUGCCUUUAGUUGCCAGCAGUUCGGCUGGGCACUCUAAAGGGACUGCCGGUGUUAAACCGGAGGAAGGUGGGGAUGACGUCAAGUCCUCAUGGCCUUUAUGACCAGGGCUACACACGUACUACAAUGGCCGAUACAAAGGGCAGCGACACUGCGAGGUGAAGCCAAUCCCGUAAAAUCGGUCUCAGUCCGGAUUGGAGUCUGCAACUCGACUCCAUGAAGUUGGAAUCGCUAGUAAUCGUGGAUCAGCAUGCCACGGUGAAUACGUUCCCGGGCCUU
This 343-nucleotide ribosomal RNA is filed under the name uncultured Desulfobulbus sp. Its description in RNAcentral is "bacterial SSU rRNA". It matches the Rfam family "Bacterial small subunit ribosomal RNA", at positions 1039 to 1382 of the family's 1533-position model. The record is from RNAcentral. Lineage: Bacteria; Pseudomonadati; Thermodesulfobacteriota; Desulfobulbia; Desulfobulbales; Desulfobulbaceae.